This 29-nucleotide non-coding RNA is filed under the name Homo sapiens (human). The record is from RNAcentral. Lineage: Eukaryota; Metazoa; Chordata; Mammalia; Primates; Hominidae.
UCACUUCCUAGAUGGGAUGGCGGCCGGGC